This 119-nucleotide ribosomal RNA is filed under the name Pteropus alecto (black flying fox). Lineage: Eukaryota; Metazoa; Chordata; Mammalia; Chiroptera; Pteropodidae. The record is from RNAcentral.
GUUUAUCGCCAUGCCACCCUGAACAAGCCUGAUCCUGUCUAAUCUCAGAAGCUAAGUAGGGUCGGGCCUGGUUAACACUUGGAUGGGAGACCACCUAGGAAGACGUGGUGCUAUAGGCA